RNAcentral lists this long non-coding RNA (199 nucleotides) under Elaeis guineensis (African oil palm). RNAcentral's name for it is "long non-coding RNA (EGUI_LNC007588)". The record is from RNAcentral. Lineage: Eukaryota; Viridiplantae; Streptophyta; Magnoliopsida; Arecales; Arecaceae.
ACUGAAUUGGCCCUACAAAAGAGCGUCAUAUUGGCUUACGUCAUAACAUUUAGGUCAUGAUGAAGCAAUCUUACCGAUGUGCCAAACCCAUCUUUAUUGAUCAAAAUUAUAUAAUUUGUUAGAAAUCUCUACAAUUAAUGUUGUAUUACAUCGCCCUAGAUUUGUUUGUUCAUAAUGAGGCCUUGGCCUAUUGGGGAGG